Anolis carolinensis (green anole) is the source of this 203-nucleotide small nuclear RNA. Its record names the gene U2. It matches the Rfam family "U2 spliceosomal RNA". Rfam says of the family: U2 is a small nuclear RNA (snRNA) component of the spliceosome (involved in pre-mRNA splicing). Complementary binding between U2 snRNA (in an area lying towards the 5' end but 3' to hairpin I) and the branchpoint sequence (BPS) of the intron results the bulging out of an unpaired adenosine, on the BPS, which initiates a nucleophilic attack at the intronic 5' splice site, thus starting the first of two transesterification reactions that mediate splicing. The record is from Ensembl. NCBI's taxonomy places the organism in Eukaryota, Metazoa, Chordata, Lepidosauria, Squamata, Anolidae.
CCCGCUUCUCGGCCUUUUGGCUAAGAUCAAGUGUAGUAUCUGUUCUUAUCAGUGAGUAAACCUUAAAGGGCAUAUCCCAUCUUGUACAGAACCACAAAUACCCUAGACUUCAUUGUUUGCUGUCCAAAAAUGCCUCAUGCCCUGUAGGAUUCUCAUCUUAGAAACAUAUUUUUAGCCUAGACUAUAAUAGUUAAGUAUACUUU